This 345-nucleotide unclassified non-coding RNA is filed under the name soil metagenome. RNAcentral describes it as "partial contains 5.8S ribosomal RNA, internal transcribed spacer 2, and large subunit ribosomal RNA". The stretch from base 1 to 119 matches the Rfam family "5.8S ribosomal RNA", at positions 35 to 154 of the family's 154-position model. The record is from RNAcentral.
GACGAAGAACGUAGCGAAAUGCGAUACGUAAUGUGAAUUGCAAAUUCAGUGAAUCAUCGAGUCUUUGAACGCACAUUGCGCCCCCUGGUAUUCCGGGGGGCAUGCCUGUCCGAGCGUCAUUGCUGCCCUCAAGCACGGCUUGUGUGUUGGGCCCCGUCCUCCGAUCCCGGGGGACGGGCCCGAAAGGCAGCGGCGGCACCGCGUCCGGUCCUCGAGCGUAUGGGGCUUUGUCACCCGCUCUGUAGGCCCGGCCGGCGCUUGCCGAUCAACCCAAAUUUUUAUCCAGGUUGACCUCGGAUCAGGUAGGGAUACCCGCUGAACUUAAGCAUAUCAAUAAGCGGAGGA